AUGAAACCCUCGCUUCUCGAACCACCUCUCCUCUACGGGUCUCCAGGGUUGCGGAAAAAAAGCGGCGCCAGCAGGCUACGGGGAGGAGGGCAGCGCCCUGCCGACGAUUUAUCUGGCUACUUCCUCCCCGUCGAUCCCUGCCUGGACCAUACCGUCUCCAUCUUGAAGAAGGCUCGAUCUUUUCCGGCGUCAGGUGAGCAGCUGGGUGUCCUUUUUUUCUUGCGGUUUAUGGCCGGCGGUGGCCUGAAUCUAAGUGGUGGUUGCCGUCCGGGCCGGCCGCCUUCUUUUUGUUCUUCUCCUUGCCUUCCUUGUCACCUCUCCCAAUCGCAAGUGCACGCCUCCACGAGAGCAGCGAACAGAGCAGGCAUUCAUGGAGCAGAUUCCUUUUUUUUUCUCCACUCCUCUUGCUCCCUUCUGAUCGAGCUCCGCGUAGAGGAGGGGCUCGAGCCAGGUGAUGGCCAACACUCCGCCACGGAGGCCAACAUGAGGAGGUGCCCAAUCUCGCUGUUGCUCCCCUUUGCGAUUGAUGAGUUCGUGAUGUACGAAAAGAGAAUGCCUUAG
RNAcentral lists this ribosomal RNA (561 nucleotides) under Triticum aestivum (bread wheat). Its description in RNAcentral is "partial small subunit ribosomal RNA". Lineage: Eukaryota; Viridiplantae; Streptophyta; Magnoliopsida; Poales; Poaceae. The record is from RNAcentral.